Peromyscus eremicus (cactus mouse) is the source of this 3888-nucleotide long non-coding RNA. RefSeq lists it as uncharacterized. NCBI's taxonomy places the organism in Eukaryota, Metazoa, Chordata, Mammalia, Rodentia, Cricetidae. The record is from RefSeq and is a predicted model, not a curated record. The transcript has 3 exons.
CGCGACUCGCGGCGGCCAGCGCCAUCUUGGCUGUCACAGGAUCUAGACCCACCGAGCGGCGCAACCAGCAGCCGGGCGUUGCAGACUCCUCCUCUCGGACCCGCCCCGUCACCCCCAAGUCACGGGCAGCCAGCCAUUCCGCAGCCUCCAGUGGACUGGGAGCGGCCUCCCGAGCCAGUAACUCGGUGCAGGCUGAGACCACACCCACCCAGGCUCACAGCAGCUGGCAGCACUAGUGAGUACUUCAGAAAACGUGCUCUUGGUGAUACACCCCACCGAGUAAGAACCAGACUCUACAAAGGGCUCCACAGAGACUCAGAAUCACCUGGGUUGGAAACCCAUUCCAAGGGUCCCACAGGCAAUCAGUGCAUAUGUGCAAGUCAGAGGACAACUUGUGGGAGUCAUCACACACCACCAUGUGGAUCCUGGAGAUUGAACUCAGGUUGUCAUAGGCUUGGCAGCAAAACCUUUACCCGCUGAACCAUCUUGUCAUCCCCUGGUCUACUUUUCUAAUAAUUAUGGUAACGAUCAGGCUAGCUCUCCUGGACUCACUUGGAGCGGGAACGCCGCCUGUUGUCAUGCCUGCGCCGGGAAGGACUUGGGGAGCCGGAGGAGCUGCUAGAACUGGAGCUUCGGGAAGUGCUGGAGCUUCCUGAGCGGCUGGACGCAGAAGAGGAGCUAGAACCACUGCUUGAGCCUGUGCUGGUGCUGGAGCCCGAGCUGGAGGUUGAGCUGGAUCGAGACCUGAGGAAAAGGUGGGGGUAUCAGAGUCCAUGAGCAAGAGUCACAUUCUACACAGAAGACCGCCCAAAGAGGAACAGCUCCCCUGGUUCUCUAAGCCUCACUGCUUUCAUCAGCAAUGAUGCCUGUCAGAUCACCACUUCAGCCUUCAACAGGGCUGUAGGUAGACUCAGGCACGUCUUCAACUACGAAAAAAUGAGCUCUAGGGUUGAAAAAAAUAGCUCAGCAAGUAGGAGCACUUGCAGAGGACCCAGGUGUGGUUUCCAGCGUCCACACAGCAACUCACAAUUGCGUGUGACUACCAUUUCAGGGCACCCAAUGCCCUCUUCAGGCUUCUGUAGGAAGGAACUAGGUACACACAUGGUAUGCAUACAUACAUGCAGACAAGACUCAUAUACUUAAAAAGAUUCUAGACUGAAGUCAUCCAAUCUCAAUUCAGAAUGAAAGAAUGAAUACAUACUUGCAAGAAAAACAAUUCAUGUCAUCUAAACAUCACAUUUCUUAGUAUCAUAGAAGAGUUCAUAUCCAUAAACAUACAUUACAUAUCAAGACCAUGUAUCAUAUAUAAUGAGAUGAAACUCAAAACCAGGGUCUGGUUGCUUUCAAAGUAGUUAAGAAAAGGUAGCCUUCCCUUGGCCUCAAUUCACUUGGCAAGCUUCAGGCUCCCAUGAAAUCCUGUCUUAAAAACGAGCUGGAUAGCUCCUACAGAACACCUGUUAUACAGGACUAUCCUCCCAGCCAACUGCUGUCCUUUUCAGUUCACCUGGGCCUGCUCACCAAUCACCACAGCUGGGCUAGUCUCUUAAAAGAAGAGACAGGGAGGCUCAAAGGACCCCCACGGAGGAUCCAGCCACCCCUCCCAACCAGCUGCAGUAUGCAAUUCUGCCCUAACUAACUGCACAUGGCUUGAAGUAGGGAUUAUGAGGGGUGGGAGCCCCACCCACACAACCACAGGGGAGUUAUCAGCCACACUCCUUCCAGUGCUGGCCACACCCACUGCACUGUAGGUGAUCCUAAUAAACUCAACAGUUCCCUUCCCUGAGUGCACUCUGGUGAAGAGCAUCUUGUUUGUGGGUGGGAACACAGAAGGGCAGCCGUUCUUUACACUUCCCAAGGGAAGGACUCAGCACCGGGGCUGGUCUCUGGCCUCCACAGCUGCAGCAGUGGCCCCUCUGCCCCACCUGGUGCUGCUGCUCCCACUUGAAGCACUCCGUCUCUUCCGAGUCUUAUCCCUGCCACGGUCCUUCUCACUUGACUCUUUAGUGGCCCCUUUAUCUUUAGAGCGAUCCUUGGACUUCUCGUCAGAGCGGUCCUUGCGUUUGGUAGGAGAAGGAGCCCUGCAUGGUGAGGAAGAAUGUGAGGUUGCAAGCUCCCCUGACCAAACCCUGAAAUAGUACAACCCAGUAGUGGGGUCCAAAGGGAAUACUAAGACCCCAGGUGAUCACAGAGCAAAACGAUCUGUGUAUGAGGACACUCACUGUAGAACACAAAAUCUCCCCUCUCUGAGGGUCCCUAAACAGCAAGCACCCCCAAAAUAGCACUAGAAAAAUCUUACAGAAGGAUUACCUAGUGCUGGACUUUUUAUUAUUUUCUUUGACUCCUAGCAAGCUCUUCUUUUUCACUCCUGAUAAAUCCAUUCUCCCCUUCUGAGGUGUUCAAAGCAGCAAUGUCGGCCUCACUUAUCUGAACUCUCACUUCUAACUCGAGUCUGAGAAACGAUCCCUAAUCGAUUGCAAUUUACGCCAAAGAGCAGCCUAGUAACAAGAUAAAAGGAUUUAAAGAGUAAACGAAUUGACAAGGCAACAAAUCCACUUUGCAACAAAAAGUUGAACACACAAGAAGAGAGCAAGGGAACACAGCAAACAGCCAAGUGUCUACACAGCCUGGACACUCGGAGGACAGCCCUCAUCUCCUCAUGGAGGCACAAAUGGAAUGGCCACCUUAGUUUGUCUUUUUUUACACGUCUAAGGUACAGGAAUAUUAAGAUUCUUCAUUGUUUUCAUGAAUGAAAUGGGGAUGGUAACUGUUCCUAUCACUGUUAUUUUAGAGCCUGCCUAACACUAGAGUUCACUGGUAAGUUGGAUAAUGAGCCAGCCAGCCAGCCACCCGGAAGCGGCUUUCAAAAUACUAGAUACCACAAUGGCCUCAGAGGAGAAAAACCCAAUUUGUAGAUCAACUGACAGGCUCAGAUUUAUUUGUCUUAUUGCCACAAUUCCCUUUGGGGAUACACUGAGUGAUGACUAGGUCAUCUUGAGUGACAAGCACUAAAACAUUAAAUAUUCGACACAAAUGGACAAAACAUCACACAAGAGCAUAAAGAAGGGUCCUAAAGCUGGGCGGUGGUGGCACACACCUUUAAUCCCAGCACUUGGGAGACAGAGAAGGCGAAGAGAUGGAGGUCAGCCUGCUCUACAGAGCUAGCUCCAGGACAGCCAAGAGGGCUACACAAAGGAAUCCUGAGGGGUGGGGAGGGGAGCAAGAAAAAGCAAGACUAUAAAUGUGACUUGCUGGAUCCAGGCAGCAGUCAGUGGGCACAAAUAUGUAAUUCCUUCUUUCUCCACCUUGAGAUUUGGAAUGGGGAGAGAUCUCACAGGCUGUGUAAGGGUUUGUUAGCAAUAUGCUAAAUAACAGUAACAAUAAAAUAGAAACUGCUUCCUGUGCCCUCUUCUCAGGGAGCCAAAUACUAUCCAAGGCCUCAGGAUAUAUCUUAACUCUCUUUUCUCAUCUUCAGCUGUAACCAAGAAAGAAUACAGCAUCUGGAGUUUGAUUUGAGAGACAGGGCACUUCUAAAUGCUGCUGAGUAAGUAUUCUAGCCCAAAAGAGAAGAGCCCUUGCCUUUGGACAAAUGAAUGGAACAUGGGAAAUGAUUCCUAUACAGCUCCUUUCCAGGGCUAUAAAAUCUUUUCAAGCUGUUUGCCCUAAAUAUACUAGACAUACCCACCAGGGAACACAAGUAACUCACGGUCUGGAGUAAGCAAGCAUGCCUCCUGUGCUUGAUGUCAUGCUUCACUAUUGUCAUCCUGGUCAGGACACUCACUCUUACAAUUUUGUUUAUCGAGACAGGAUCUCUCUAUUACAUAGCCCUGGCUGUCCUGGAACUCACUCUAUAGACCAGGCUUGCCUUGAAUUCAGAGAUCUUCCUGGGAU